RNAcentral lists this ribosomal RNA (497 nucleotides) under uncultured bacterium. RNAcentral's name for it is "partial 16S ribosomal RNA". It matches the Rfam family "Bacterial small subunit ribosomal RNA", at positions 28 to 507 of the family's 1533-position model. The record is from RNAcentral.
GAUGAACGCUGGCGGCGUGCCUAAUACAUGCAAGUCGAGCGAACAGACGAGGAGCUUGCUCCUCUGACGUUAGCGGCGGACGGGUGAGUAACACGUGGAUAACCUACCUAUAAGACUGGGAUAACUUCGGGAAACCGGAGCUAAUACCGGAUAAUAUAUUGAACCGCAUGGUUCAAUAGUGAAAGACGGUUUUGCUGUCACUUAUAGAUGGAUCCGCGCCGCAUUAGCUAGUUGGUAAGGUAACGGCUUACCAAGGCAACGAUGCGUAGCCGACCUGAGAGGGUGAUCGGCCACACUGGAACUGAGACACGGUCCAGACUCCUACGGGAGGCAGCAGUAGGGAAUCUUCCGCAAUGGGCGAAAGCUUGACGGAGCAACGCCGCGUGAGUGAUGAAGGUCUUCGGAUAGUAAAACUCUGUUAUUAGGGAAGAACAAAUGUGUAAGUAACUAUGCACGUCUUGACGGUACCUAAUCAGAAAGCCACGGCUAACUACGUG